AUGAACGCUGGCGGCGUGCCUAAUACAUGCAAGUCGAGCGAACAGACGAGUAUCUUUCUCCUCUUACGUUAUCGGCGGUCUGUUUAGUAACACGUUGUUAACCUACCUAUUAUUCUUUGUUAACUUCUGUAUACCUGUUCUUAUUCCGGUUUAUUUUUUUAACCUCUUUGUUCUAUUGUUACAUUCGUUUUUUCUUUUACUUUUUUAUUGUUCCCCGCCGCAUUAGCUAGUUGGUAAGGUAACGGCUUACCAAGGCAACGAUUCGUAGCCGACAUGAGAGGGGGAUCGGCAACACUGGAACUGAGACACGGUCCAGACACCUACGGGAGGCAGCAGUAGGGAAUAUUCCGCAAUGGGCGAAAGCCUGACGGAGCAACGCCGCGUGAGUGAUGAAGGUCUUCGGAUCGUAAAACACUGUUAUUAGGGAAGAAAAAAUGUGUAAGUAACUAUGCACGUCUUGACGGUAACUAAUCAGAAAGCCACGGCUAACUACGUG
This 496-nucleotide ribosomal RNA is filed under the name uncultured bacterium. RNAcentral describes it as "partial 16S ribosomal RNA". It matches the Rfam family "Bacterial small subunit ribosomal RNA", at positions 29 to 507 of the family's 1533-position model. The record is from RNAcentral.